This 75-nucleotide transfer RNA is filed under the name Patescibacteria group bacterium. Its description in RNAcentral is "tRNA-Gly". It matches the Rfam family "tRNA". From Rfam's summary of the family: Transfer RNA (tRNA) molecules are approximately 80 nucleotides in length. The record is from RNAcentral.
GCGGGUAUCGUAUAGCGAUUAUUACAUCUGGUUGCCAAUCAGAUAAUGAGGGUUUGACUCCCUCUACCCGCUCCA